UCGGGAAUUUUGGGCAAUGGGCGAAAGCCUGACCCAGCAACGCCGCGUGAAGGAUGAAGUAUUUCGGUAUGUAAACUUCGUAAGAAUAGGAAGAAUAAAUGACGGUACUAUUUAUAAGGUCCGGCUAACUACGUGCCAGCAGCCGCGGUAAUACGUAGGGACCAAGCGUUGUUCGGAUUUACUGGGCGUAAAGGGCGCGUAGGCGGCAUGACAAGUCACUUGUGAAAUCUCUGGGCUUAACCCAGAACGGCCAAGUGAUACUGUCGCGCUAGAGUGCAGAAGGGGCAAUCGGAAUUCUUGGUGUAGCGGUGAAAUGCGUAGAUAUCAAGAGGAACACCUGAGGUGAAGACGGGUUGCUGGGCUGACACUGACGCUGAGGCGCGAAAGCCAGGGGAGCAAACGGGAUUAGAUACCCCCGUAGUCCCUGAGCGGGCUGGCAAGGCGCAU
RNAcentral lists this ribosomal RNA (447 nucleotides) under uncultured bacterium. RNAcentral describes it as "bacterial SSU rRNA". It matches the Rfam family "Bacterial small subunit ribosomal RNA", at positions 355 to 825 of the family's 1533-position model. The record is from RNAcentral.